Molecule: long non-coding RNA, 962 nt
Organism: Lucilia sericata (common green bottle fly)
Lineage: Eukaryota; Metazoa; Arthropoda; Insecta; Diptera; Calliphoridae
Exons: 2
Source: RefSeq, a predicted model, not a curated record
UCGUUAUAAAUCGGCAAACCAUAAGGAUCGUCGUCCUCAGUCGUAUGUGUUCGUUUGUUGCUUUCGUUCGUUAAUUUUUCGAGAACAUUCAGUUAAAACCUUUAGUUUUUUGGACUCCUCUGCACUACAUUUUCUUCUACUUUAAUUCAUCGGUUUAAUAAGUUUAUAUUUUCGAUUUACCCAAAAAAAAAUCGAGUGAUUUUUGUAUUCAGUUUUUUUGGUGACACUUACCGACGUUAUAAUUGUCAUAUUUUGAUUUACCUAAAAAAACAAAAAAAAGUAAAAUUUAUUCAACAAUUUAAAACAAUUUUUAACGGGCAAUUUGCAAUAUUGUUUAUAUUUAUUAUUAAAACUAUUUCUCUCUCGCUCUUCGUAACAAUUUAAAACAAGAAAAUUGUUAAGAAUUUACAUAAAAGCCAAAUUACUUUUAAAUAAAAAAAAUUUAGUUAAAAAAACUUUGUUACCAAAAAAAUUAAGUUGUGUCAUUCUCUAGUCAAAUAUUUCGUUUUGUUAAAAUUUAAAAAAACAACAAAAAAAUUUUGUUAAAAAUUUCUUCAAUUUGGAUUUAAGUUCAUCGAUAUAUAAUUUUUGUGGGACAGCAUUAAAAUCAACAUAUUUGAUAAAAUCUAAGAUUAAAACAAAAAAUUAUAUAUAUAUUGAGUAAGCAAUCGAGCAGCUAUUAUUGUACACCAAGUGAGAAAAUAUUUCGUAUUUAAAUUUAAUAUUAAAUUAAUUCCAAAAUCAAGUUUAUUGAAAACCAAACAAAAAUUUUUCAAAAAAAAAAAGAAAAUCUUGCAAUUCAACACCACCAAAGAAAACCAACUAUUACAGAGCUAAAGUAAAAAAAAAUAACGAAUUAAAAACAACAAACAACAAAAUAAUCAUUUUUACAACAAAACCUCUUUAAAACCAAAAAAGUUCUUAAACUUUUCUAGGAGGUUAACAGCAAAAAAAAAAAAAAA